Molecule: ribosomal RNA, 460 nt
Filed under: uncultured bacterium
Lineage: Bacteria
Description: partial 16S ribosomal RNA
Rfam family: Bacterial small subunit ribosomal RNA
Source: RNAcentral
CCUACGGGUGGCAGCAGUGAGGAAUAUUGGUCAAUGGACGAAAGUCUGAACCAGCCACGCCGCGUGCAGGAUGACGGUUUUAUGAGUUGUAAACUGUUUUUGUAGUAGGGUAAACACCCCUACGUGUAGGGGCUGGAAAGUAUAAUACGAAUAAGGAACGGCUAAAUCCGCGCCAGCAGCCGCGGUAAUACGGAGGAUCCAAGCGUUAUCCGGAUUUAUUGGGUUGAAAGGGUGCGUAGGCGGUUUGAUAAGUUAGAGGUGAAAUACCGGUGCUCAACACCGGAACUGCCUCUAAUACUGUUGAACUAGAGAGUAGUAGCGGUAGGCGGAAUGUAUGGUGUAGCGGUGAAAUGCGUAGAGAUCAUACAGAACACCGAUUGCGAAGGCAGCUUACCAAACUAUAUCUGACGUUGAGGCACGAAAGCGUGGGUAGCAAACAGGAUUAGAUACCCCAGUAGUC